GAUGAACGCUGGCGGCGUGCCUAAUACAUGCAAGUCGAGCGAACAGACGAGGAGCUUGCUCCUCUGAUGUUAGCGGCGGACGGGUGAGUAACACGUGGAUAACCUACCUAUAAGACUGGGAUAACUUCGGGAAACCGGAGCUAAUACCGGAUAACAUGUUGAACCGCAUGGUUCAACAGUGAAAGACGGUCUUGCUGUCACUUAUAGAUGGAUCCGCGCCGCAUUAGCUAGUUGGUAAGGUAACGGCUUACCAAGGCAACGAUGCGCAGCCGACCUGAGAGGGUGAUCGGCCACACUGGAACUGAGACACGGUCCAGACUCCUACGGGAGGCAGCAGUAGGGAAUCUUCCGCAAUGGGCGAAAGCCUGACGGAGCAACGCCGCGUGAGUGAAGAAGGUCUUCGGAUCGUAAAACUCUGUUAUUAGGGAAGAACAAAUGUGUAAGUAACUAUGCACGUCUUGACGGUACCUAAUCAGAAAGCCACGGCUAACUACGUG
This 497-nucleotide ribosomal RNA is filed under the name uncultured bacterium. RNAcentral describes it as "partial 16S ribosomal RNA". It matches the Rfam family "Bacterial small subunit ribosomal RNA", at positions 28 to 507 of the family's 1533-position model. The record is from RNAcentral.